AUCAAUCUCGAUCAUCUAGCUAUCUGCAGUGUCCUAAAUCAACAUGGGAAAACUCCUCGUUUUAUUGACUGUUCUCUGCCUGAUGGCCAUGACGACCGCUUACUAUUAUCAUCAUGGCGGACAGAAACGUUGCGACUAUCAUCGCAGAUGUUAUUAUGACUUCCACUGUUACCGCGGAGAAUUUUGUAAAACUGUGUCCCAAUUCCCCUACAGGAUUGGCUACUGCUGUAGUUAUUAUCGUCGAGGAGGACGUGAAUAUUAUUAGGACAAGAAUGGAACGAGGCAGAUCACUGGCUAAUUGACAAAACGACCUGAAGUUUUAAAGAAAACAUACUUGCAAUGAUCAUUGUCAAUCAAUUUAUAAUUGAAGCAUUUGAAUAAAAUCUUGCAUCUUA
Molecule: long non-coding RNA, 395 nt
Organism: Saccostrea echinata
Lineage: Eukaryota; Metazoa; Mollusca; Bivalvia; Ostreida; Ostreidae
Exons: 3
Source: RefSeq, a predicted model, not a curated record